ACUAGCCCUACCAUUUUCCUACCCGUGUGACCAUGGGCAAGUUACUUUGUCCUGUUUGUGCUCAGGUUCCUUAUUUGUUAAAUGAGAGGACUGAAGUGUGGUAUGGGGGCUAACUUUUGGAAGCCUGGAAGACUUGGGUUUGAACACUGGCUCAGACAGCUUUGCAACCCAGGUAAGUCAGCUCAAGUUUCCUCAUUUGUAAAAUGGAGGGGGUGGAUUAGCUAGAUUCCAAAGUCCCUUCCAGCUCCAUAUCAUGAAGGUCAUUUCCAACUGUGAAAUCAUGAAGCCUCUCUGAAUUUGAGGUGCUUCAGGGGUUAGACUAGAUAAUUCCUAAGGUACCUUCUAGUUCUAGGAAUCUGUUAUUCUGUUCUCCAUUGGGGGUGGAGGCGCAGCCCUUAGGUGGUAGGCAUUUUACUUAUGUGGGCUUCUGUGAAGCCCAGAGCACAUUCCUGCAGACCCUCAAGGGGCUUAAUUUAAUAAGGUUACACACUUGUCUGGUCAGCUAAUUGUGUUGAGGAUAACUGCCAUUUGAUUGAUUUUUCUUCCCUCUAAGUCACUUAUUUUUCAUAUUGUGAAGGUCACCAGUCCACUGUCUUCAUGGAUUUCCUACUUCUUUAGGAGACGGCAAUAGCUCUCACCUGGCCCACUGUCCACCCACAAAUGGUCUUGCUCAUCAGAGAUCCCACUGCUGCCACAGAAGUUGCCAAGUGCAGUAAAGGCCCGUGUUUGUAAGGAGAUGUUCAUCUCCUCAUCACAGUUGUGCUGUCAGAGAGCCAGCUAUUGGAAGGAGAAAUUUAAAGAUGCUUCCAGGACACUAAUCAAGAAUCUAUCAAUGUGGAUAAUCAUUCCAAAGAUGCAGUUGGCAACCAUUCUUGCUUUUCUAUCCCAUAUGACUCUUCUUUAAAGUCUAUGGUAAGUCCUCUACAAGGGGUCUGCUUAAUUUGCUGGGGCCUUCUUAUAGAUUU
Molecule: long non-coding RNA, 965 nt
Filed under: Phascolarctos cinereus (koala)
Lineage: Eukaryota; Metazoa; Chordata; Mammalia; Diprotodontia; Phascolarctidae
Description: lncRNA (ENSPCIG00000003000.2)
Source: RNAcentral